UGGGGAAUAUUGCACAAUGGGGGAAACCCUGAUGCAGCGACGCCGCGUGAGCGAAGAAGGUUUUCGAAUCGUAAAGCUCUGUCCUAUGGGAAGAUAAUGACGGUACCAUAGGAGGAAGCACCGGCUAACUACGUGCCAGCAGCCGCGGUAAUACGUAGGGGGCAAGCGUUGUCCGGAAUCACUGGGCGUAAAGGGUUCGCAGGCGGAAAUGCAAGUCAGUUGUGAAAGGCAGAGGCUCAACCUCUGUAAGCAAUUGAAACUGUAUUUCUUGAGAUGUGGAGAGGCAAGUGGAAUUCCUAGUGUAGCGGUGAAAUGCGUAGAUAUUAGGAAGAAUACCGGUGGCGAAGGCGACUUGCUGGACACAAACUGACGCUGAGGAACGAAAGCGUGGGUAGCAAACAGG
RNAcentral lists this ribosomal RNA (403 nucleotides) under Fusobacteriota bacterium. Its description in RNAcentral is "Fusobacteria bacterium partial 16S ribosomal RNA". It matches the Rfam family "Bacterial small subunit ribosomal RNA", at positions 355 to 776 of the family's 1533-position model. Lineage: Bacteria; Fusobacteriati; Fusobacteriota. The record is from RNAcentral.